GCAGCUGGAUUAAACCUGGAGCUGCAGUUAUUGAUGUUGGCACAAAUGCUAUUGAUGAUCCAAGUAAGAAGUCGGGUUAUAGGCUAGUGGGAGAUGUAGAUUACAAGGAAGCAUGUAAGGUAGCCGGAUGGAUUACCCCUGUUCCAGGUGGUGUGGGUCCAAUGACUGUUGCAAUGCUACUUAAGAACACCUUGGAUGGUGCAAAGCGGGUAUUCAUGCAGUAAUGUUCCAUAUAUUUUUUUUCUCUUUCAAAUAUAAUUUUUGCCAAUAUUCUUCGUAAGCCCUAUCCUCUGUUUUCACUUCAUGAUUAACUCCCGCG
This 319-nucleotide unclassified non-coding RNA is filed under the name Hevea brasiliensis (rubber tree). The record is from RNAcentral. Lineage: Eukaryota; Viridiplantae; Streptophyta; Magnoliopsida; Malpighiales; Euphorbiaceae.